ACGGGUGAGUAACGCGUGAGAAUUUGGCUUCAGGUCGGGGACAACAGUUGGAAACGACUGCUAAUACCGGAUGUGCCGAAAGGUGAAAGAUUUAUUGCCUGAAGAUAAGCUCGCGUCUGAUUAGCUAGUUGGUGGGGUAAGAGCCUACCAAGGCGACGAUCAGUAGCUGGUCUGAGAGGAUGAUCAGCCACACUGGGACUGAGACACGGCCCAGACUCCUACGGGAGGCAGCAGUGGGGAAUUUUCCGCAAUGGGCGAAAGCCUGACGGAGCAAUACCGCGUGAGGGAGGAAGGCUCUUGGGUCGUAAACCUCUUUUCUCAAGGAAGAAAAAAAUGACGGUACUUGAGGAAUAAGCAUCGGCUAACUCCGUGCCAGCAGCCGCGGUAAUACGGAGGAUGCAAGCGUUAUCCGGAAUGAUUGGGCGUAAAGGGUCCGCAGGUGGAACUGAAAGUCUGCUGUUAAAGAGUCUGGCUCAACCAGAUAAAAGCAGUGGAAACUACAGAACUAGAGUGCGUUCGGGGCAGAAGGAAUUCCUGGUGU
This 541-nucleotide ribosomal RNA is filed under the name Wollea vaginicola ISB22. RNAcentral describes it as "bacterial SSU rRNA". It matches the Rfam family "Bacterial small subunit ribosomal RNA", at positions 102 to 676 of the family's 1533-position model. RNAcentral also lists the same sequence under 1 other name. Lineage: Bacteria; Bacillati; Cyanobacteriota; Cyanophyceae; Nostocales; Nostocaceae. The record is from RNAcentral.